UUCAGAGGAGAGAUGCAGAGCGACAGAGACACUCUAUCUAACGCGAGAGUGUUUAAUUUGAUUAAAUAUGACUCCUAAGUUCAUAUAAACUGAAGAAAUCAGAAUUUAACUUGCAUAUAUUCAAUGAUACAGCGUGGUUGUGUGGAUUGAGCACUUUUUGAGCUUUCAUUUUGACCUGGGGUUAGAUUGUUCAUUGCAGCGUGAUUAUGUAAAACCACAUGGUGUGUUGUGUUCGCUGACGCCAUUUUGGUUGCACGUGCCUGUGAAAGACAAAAAGAGAGAGAAACACGUGAAUGGACAGGUAUUUGUCUAAAUUGUCAUUUAUUAUGACAACUGUAUGUAUUUUAUUUGUUUCCUGUAUUAUGUACAAUUGUUAAUCAUCAUUGAUACACAAUAUUGAAUGUUUUUUCCUUUCGUAUGAACAUUCCUUGAGCUGGAUUUUCCUAAUUGAUGGCGAGCCUCCCAUUUCGACCUGAUUGGAUCACGAAUCUAGAGGAAAGGACAAUUUUCUAUUUUAAAUAUUUUUCUUCAGACAAGUAAGAGGAUACAUUUCAGAAACUGUUUCCUUAUUUUGUUUGUUUACUUUAUUGAACUGAAACAUUUCAGAAGCACAAUUCUGAUAAUUUAAGACUGAUCAAUACUCCAAUUGAUAAGAACUUUGAACUUGAAUACUGAUUUCAGUGUGUUACAUAUAUAAUUUGUACCAUCUUUGUACAUUGAUUGUGACUGUGAUUUCUGUAAAUGAGAAGUAAUUUAGAGGGUGCACCCAUAGUAUAUAUAGUUAAUUGUAUUUUCAUUGUUGUUUACUAUUUUUUUGUGAUUAAGGAAAGAUAAAGAAAAAGAAAGGUUUCUCAAUACUCAAAGUAAAAUAAUUUAUUAAUCAACUUA
Misgurnus anguillicaudatus (oriental weatherfish) is the source of this 888-nucleotide non-coding RNA. The record is from RefSeq and is a predicted model, not a curated record. Lineage: Eukaryota; Metazoa; Chordata; Actinopteri; Cypriniformes; Cobitidae.